Molecule: ribosomal RNA, 497 nt
Filed under: uncultured bacterium
Lineage: Bacteria
Description: partial 16S ribosomal RNA
Rfam family: Bacterial small subunit ribosomal RNA
Source: RNAcentral
GAUGAACGCUGGCGGCGUGCCUAAUACAUGCAAGUCGAGCGAACGGACGAGAAGCUUGCUUCUCUGAUGUUAGCGGCGGACGGGUGAGUAACACGUGGAUAACCUACCUAUAAGACUGGGAUAACUUCGGGAAACCGGAGCUAAUACCGGAUAAUAUUUUGAACCGCAUGGUUCAAAAGUGAAAGACGGUCUUGCUGUCACUUAUAGAUGGAUCCGCGCUGCAUUAGCUAGUUGGUCAGGUAACGGCUUACCAAGGCAACGAUGCAUAGCCGACCUGAGAGGGUGGUCGGCCACACUGGAACUGAGACACGGUCCAGACUCCUACGGGAGGCAGCAGUAGGGAAUCUUCCGCAAUGGGCGAAAGCCUGACGGAGCAACGCCGCGUGAGUGAUGAAGGUCUUCGGAUCGUAAAACUCUGUUAUUAGGGAAGAACAUAUGUGUAAGUAACUGUGCACAUCUUGACGGUACCUAAUCAGAAAGCCACGGCUAACUACGUG